GAGUUUGAUCGUGGCUCAGAACGAACGCUGAUGGCGUGCCUCAUACAUGCAAGUCGAGCGGGUAGCAAUACCAGCGGCGAACGGGUGAGUAACGCGUGAACAAUCUGCCUCAAAGUGGGGGAUAACCAUUCCAACGGAUGGCUAAUACCGCAUAGGGUUUGGAAGCGGCAUCGCUUCUUCACGAAAGCAUUUAUGCGCUUUGAGAUGAGUUCGCGUCCCAUUAGCUAGUUGGCGGGGUAACGCCCACCAAGGCGACGAUGGGUAGCCGGCCUGAGAGGGUGUCCGGCCACAUUGGGACUGAGAUACGGCCCAGACUCCUACGGGAGGCAGCA
RNAcentral lists this ribosomal RNA (332 nucleotides) under uncultured Clostridia bacterium. RNAcentral's name for it is "bacterial SSU rRNA". It matches the Rfam family "Bacterial small subunit ribosomal RNA", at positions 9 to 353 of the family's 1533-position model. The record is from RNAcentral. Lineage: Bacteria; Bacillati; Bacillota; Clostridia.